AUACGGAGGGUGCAAGCGUUACUCGGAAUCACUGGGCGUAAAGCGCGCGAGGGCGGCCUGAUAAGUUGGAUGUGAAAGCCUACGGCUCAACCGUAGAACUGCAUCCAAAACUGUCAGGCUAGAGUGUGGGAGAGGAAGAUGGAAUUAGUUGUGUAGGGGUAAAAUCCGUAGAGAUAACUAGGAAUACCAAAAGCGAAGGCAAUCUUCUGGAACACUACUGACGCUGAGGCGCGAAGGCGUGGGGAGCAAACAGGAGUAGAAACCCGAGUAGUCC
This 274-nucleotide ribosomal RNA is filed under the name uncultured bacterium. Its description in RNAcentral is "partial 16S ribosomal RNA". It matches the Rfam family "Bacterial small subunit ribosomal RNA", at positions 523 to 796 of the family's 1533-position model. The record is from RNAcentral.